UACGUAGGCAGCAAGCGUUGUUCGGAAUUACUGGGCGUAAAGAGUGCGUAGGCGGUGCUCUAAGUUUGGUGUGAAAUCUCCCGGCUUAACUGGGAGGGUGCGCCGAAGACUGGAGAACUUGAGUGUGGGAGAGGAAAGCGGAAUUCCUGGUGUAGCGGUGAAAUGCGUAGAUAUCAGGAGGAACACCUGCGGUGUAGACAGCUUUCUGGACCACCACUGACGCUGAGGCACGAAAGCGUGGGUAGCAAACAGG
This 253-nucleotide ribosomal RNA is filed under the name uncultured bacterium. RNAcentral's name for it is "partial 16S ribosomal RNA". It matches the Rfam family "Bacterial small subunit ribosomal RNA", at positions 524 to 776 of the family's 1533-position model. The record is from RNAcentral.